GAUGAACGCUGGCGGCGUGCCUAAUACAUGCAAGUCGAGCGAACAGACGAGGAUCUUGCUCCUCUGACGUUAGCGGCGGACGGGUGAGUAACACGUGUAUAACCUCCCUAUAUGACUGGUAUCACUUCGGGACACCGGAGCUUAUACCGGAUAAUAUAUUGAACCGCAUGGUUCAAUAGUGAAAUACGGUUUUGGUGUCACUUAUAGAUGGAUCCGCGCCGGAUGAGCUAGUUGUUAAGUUAACGGCUUAUCAAGGCAACGAUGCGUAGCCGACCGGACAGGGUGAUCGGCCACACUGGAGCUGAGACACGGUCCAGGCUCCUACGGGAGGCAGCAGUAGGGAAUCGGCCGCAAUGGGCGAAAGCCUGACGGAGCAACGCCGAGUGAGUGAUGAAGGUCUUCGGAUCGUAAAACUCUGUUAUUAGGGAAAAACAAAUGUGUAAGUAACUAUGCACGUAUUGACGGUACCUAAUCAGAAAGCCACGGCUAACUACGUG
Molecule: ribosomal RNA, 497 nt
Filed under: uncultured bacterium
Lineage: Bacteria
Description: partial 16S ribosomal RNA
Rfam family: Bacterial small subunit ribosomal RNA
Source: RNAcentral